RNAcentral lists this ribosomal RNA (550 nucleotides) under Vermiconidia calcicola. RNAcentral describes it as "eukaryotic LSU rRNA". The stretch from base 181 to 334 matches the Rfam family "5.8S ribosomal RNA". The record is from RNAcentral. Lineage: Eukaryota; Fungi; Ascomycota; Dothideomycetes; Mycosphaerellales; Extremaceae.
ACAGGUUCGUAGUGAACCUGCGGAGAGAUCAUUACCGAGUGAGGGUGGAAACACCCGACCUCCAACCCCAUGUCGUUACAACCUUUGUUGCCUCGGGGGCGACCCGGCCUCGCGCCGGGGCCCCCGACGGACCAGCUCACUCUGCGUCUUUGCGUCGGAGUCACAAGUAAAUUGAAUCAAAACUUUUAACAACGGAUCUCUUGGUUCUGGCAUCGAUGAAGAACGCAGCGAAAUGCGAUAAGUAAUGUGAAUUGCAGAAUUCAGUGAAUCAUCGAAUCUUUGAACGCACAUUGCGCCCCUUGGUAUUCCGGGGGGCAUGCCCGUUCGAGCGUCAUUACACCACUCAAGCCUGGCUUGGUAUUGGGCGUCCGGCACUCACCUGCCCGCCCCAAAUUCUCUUCGGCUGAUCGGUUUACUUUCUUAGCGUUGGAGUGUUGUCAUUACGUUCCGCUAAUCGAAAGACGCCGGCCGGCCGUUAAACAUUUUCAUCACGGUUGACCUCGGAUCGGGUAGGGAUACCCGCUGAACUUAAGCAUAUCAAUAAGCGAGA